This is a long non-coding RNA of Homo sapiens (human), 3862 nucleotides long. RefSeq lists it as uncharacterized. The transcript is spliced from 4 exons. The record is from RefSeq and is a predicted model, not a curated record. NCBI's taxonomy places the organism in Eukaryota, Metazoa, Chordata, Mammalia, Primates, Hominidae.
GGAAGUGUUAAGGCUGUGAAAUUACGGCUAACAAAAUAGGCAGGUUGGCAGGUGGUGGAGAGAAUACCAAGACCUAGGCUCUCCUGAUCUCCCUGCAUCCCUGUCAUUUUUGGCAAUGUCGCUAAUCGGCCCAGCAGCCCGAAUCCACACGCCCCGGCGUCCGGGCUCUGCAAGGUGCAGCUGGUCUCAGGCCCUGUCUCAGAAUACAGAAGUAAUCAGAAUUUAUUCACGUGGGCCGACUGAGAGUUUUGACGUCAAAGGGCAAUCCUGUCUGAUUGAUACCACUCAAAUGGCAAUAUUGUUUGAAGAAAUGUAGUUAGAGAGAUGGCAAUUUAAAGGCUAUAAGAAGUUACAGGAAAAGAUUUUGUGAAUAGAGACUAUAAAGCACUCCUGUAACCUUGGCCCCAAAGAGGGCUCUCCAGACAGAAAGUUGCCUGCAUGUCCCGGUGCGUGUUUUUGAGUGUGAUACUGUUCUUCACUGCUCUGUCCCAAGAAAUCCAGCAUUGCCUAUGGCAUACCUUCUGAGGAAAGCCUUUGGGGCAAAGAAAUUACAAAAAUGAAGGUGGGGGAGUAUUACAAUUUGUAACAGUCACUUAAGAAUUCUCAACAUGUUUUUUUCAUUGGCUAUAAACAAAACAAGGUAAUACAAGACACCUGUGACCAUGCAAAAAAUAAGAGGCACAGAUGCCCCACCGUUAAAGCAAGCAGGUCACGCAGCAGGGGCAUUCCUGUGGGUGAGCGGCCUGGGAGACCAACAGAGAAGAAUCACCCAGGAGGUAAAACAGCAUUCAGUGAGCAAGAGGCACAGAAGUCUAGGGUGAAAUUGCCAGUGAAACAGCCUUCUCAGAAUGCUGGGAUUUUAGAAAGCACAGCUGGGAAGUUGUGGGCUGGAGAAUCCAUCAGCCUCCCUCGUUGUCUAUCUCUUUCCUUCCUAACUUUCUUGUAUCAGCCAUCAGUGCCACACUGGGUGCUGGGCUUGAGGGGAUAAAAUGGGGAACAUACGCACCCGGUUUCUGUCCUUAGGGGGCUUAGAGUAGAAUGGGGAAGAGAUAAACCCAAGUAAAUAGCAUACAAAUAAAAUAAUUGCCAACUGUGAUAAAGGACUUUGAAGAAAGCAAUUAAAGUUCUGAGUUAGAAGGUAACAUGAGAGUAAAUUGCGUUUCCUAGGGUGGUCAGGAAAUGUUUUUUUGGACAGACUUAACAUAUAAACAGAUCUGUAAGGAGCAGGGAGGAUUUUAAAGUUUGCAGUGGGUAGAGAGGUUGGGAAAGUACUGAAAGAAAGUGGUGUGGUUGGAGAACAAUAUACAAAUGUGACAAUGAAACAAAAUGGAACAAAAGAAAAGGGAAGGCUUGUCAUCAGACGUGGUGACAAGUUCAUUUUGAUCUCUCACCCUCUAUCUUCACGGUCUCUUCAGGCCUCCUAGACUUCCAUUGGAAAGCCCUGGCCUCUUGGAAUUACAGGUGUUGGAAAUCCACACCAAACUAACUUGAGCAGGGAAGGGGAAUUACCAUACUGUGAGCUGUCAGGGUGCAGCUGACCAAUAGAUGGCUGGGGCCCGGGGAUAUGGGCAUCGAGAUUCACUUUUUUUUCUCCUGUGGUUCUCCUUCAUUGUCCAGCAGACAGGCCUUGGCCUGUACUACAGUGGGACAGUGUUUCCAGUAGCAACUGUUUAUCUUCCCAAAUUUGCCACCAGGCAGUGGGGGGCUGUCUUCCCUUACUUCCAGUUUGGCUCAUGCUUGGUGAGAGACUCUGUUUUCCUUGGCUUGGGUCACAUUCCCACCCAAGGAGACAGGGUGCUGCCGGUGGCAGCGUGGGGGAAAGGAGCAACUCCCCUGCAGAUGCCUGCCUGCCUGUGAGGGCGUCGAUAUGAGUGAGAAAGGGUAAAGAGCUGUGAGUAUGUGUAUUGUGAGAUUGUGUGUGUGUGUUUAUGUAGAUGUGUGCAUGUGUAUGUGAGUGUGUAUGAAUGUAUGUGUGUAUGUGUGACUGGGAGAACAUGUAUGUGUGUACAUUUGUGAGUAUGUAUAUAUGUUGAGUGUUAUGUGUAAAAUUGUGUCUCCCUAAAAUUCUUAUGUUGAAAUCCUAGCCCCUAAUACCUUAGAAUUCAACGUUAUUUGGAGAGAGGUCUUCGUAUAGAUAAUCAAGUUCAAAGGAGACAUUAGGGUGGGCUGUAAUCCCAUUAGCUGUUGUCUUUGUAAAAGGGGAAAUUUGGACACAGAGCCACUCAGAGAGGGAAGAGGUCGUGAAGAGACACUGGCAGAAGAUAGCCAUGUACAAGCCAAGUAGAGAGGACUGGAACAGAUCCUUCCCUCACAGCCUCCGAGGAACCAACCUGGCCGACACCUUGAUUUCAGACUUCUGGCCUCCAGAACUGUGUGAGACAGCACAUUUCUGUUGUGGAAGCCACCCAGUCUGUGGUACUUUGUUACAGCAGCUCCAGCAAAUGCACACCAUGAGCGUGUGUGUGACUGUGGGCAUCUGAGUGUCAAUGUCAAUGUAUGUGUAGACUGGGAGUUGCUCUGGUCAUAAAUCUAAAGAUGGCUAUCAUGCUGCUCCUUUUCUUUGCUUAUCCAAUACCACUCACAUUUCGAGGCCUGCCACAAAUCCCCCUCCUUCUUGACAUCUUUCAUGGGUUCUCAGUGCUCCAGGUGCAAUUCUGGCUGCCACCAAUUAAUCGCGUGAUUCAUGGUGACCUUGAGGGAAACAACCUUUCUCAUUAAUCUUUGGGUCCCUGUAUUUGUCUUAUGGCCCAGCAUGUAGUAAGUACUCAAAUAAUAUUUGUUUGCUUCACUUAACCUUCUAUUUAAUUUUUUUUACUGUGAAAUAAAACAAAUGUAGAAAAUUGUACAAAACAAGAGUUUACAGCCCAGUGUUUUAUCACAAAGUGAACAUCUGUGUAACUACUACACAGAGCAAAAAAUACAUUCCUCAGCACUCAGAAAGCCCCUUGCUCUCUGCAUGUCCUCUUCUGGUGACUUUACCUUCCUUGCCCCUGGAGGGUAACUACUACCCUGAUUUUUAUGGUAAUCACUUCCAUGGCUUUCUUUAUAGUUUAGGCACCUAAGUUGCAUCCUAAAUCUCAUAGGUCAGUUUGCUUGGUCAAUAAUAAAAAGGUGUUCAACUUUGCCAGUAAUCAAGAAAAUACAAAUUAAAAGGAUGAUGUAAUAACACCAGACACACAGCAGAAUAACAAAACUUAAAAUGACUGGUAGUAGUGAUGUUAAAAAUUAAAAAUUGCAAAAACAGCUGAGAAUAUAUAUUUAUUUUGGAAAAGUUUGGCAUCAUCUCAAGUUGAACAACAGAAGUGUGUGCAAUGUGCACCCAAGACAUGUUUGUGAAUAUUCCUAGCAAUGUAAUUGGUAAUAAUGGGUUGAUGGAAAAAUCACAUUGUGUUUUUUGUUUGUCACUGUCUGAUUACUAUUGAUAUUGAACCUUCUCAUGGUUCUUGGUCAUCAUGGCAGGGAUUCUUAGUAUGUUUUGAAGUACACCUGCAGAGAUUCCUAUUAGACAUCUAAGUGAAGAUGUCACGCAGGGAGUUGGAUAUAUAUGGAGUUUAUGGGAGAAGUCAGGGGAUGGUGAUAGAAAUUUGGGACCAUCAGCACACAGAUGGUAUGGAAAGCAAUGGAAGAGAUAAGAUGACUUAAGGGAUAUGAGUGCUGAUAGAGAAGAGGGCUGAGGGCUGAGCCUCAAGUGGGAGUGAGAAAUCCAGUAAAUGAGAUUGGAAAGUAACAGACAGUGAGGUAAGAAGAAAACCAGACACAUAUGAUGUUCUAUAGUCCAAGAAAAAAUAUUCCCCAAAGAGGGAGUUAUCAAAUGAUGAUAUUAAAUAAUCAAAUGAUACUGGGAAGUCAAAUAAGACAAAAA